Long non-coding RNA from Rhineura floridana, 3316 nucleotides. RefSeq lists it as uncharacterized. The record is from RefSeq and is a predicted model, not a curated record. The transcript is spliced from 3 exons. Lineage: Eukaryota; Metazoa; Chordata; Lepidosauria; Squamata; Rhineuridae.
AAAAGUUUUCACCCAGGACCCCCUUGUGCCGGUGGCUUAAAAAAGGAGUGGCAACCCUGGUCUUCCAGUGGCCCUCUAUACUUUGAAGGGAGGAGAAGAUACCCACCUUCUCCAUCCACACAAAGGGCCAUGUGCAUGACAGGUGGGGGCAAAGAUUUCCAGCCCCUGCUGAAAGCAGGAUUGGCUACUGGUGGAAGCAGCCACAUGGAUGAGAACUGGAAGCCUUGCAAAGGACAAUGGACAGCCAACCCUGAGCAGAACAAGAAAGAGAUGCAGAUAGCAGCUCAGUAUGCUAGUCCAUAGCAAGACGAAGGAUGGUGUUGGUCCAUCGAAGCCUAGUUUCAGCCAUUUUUGCUUCUUAUCUUUUAAUUUGAGUGUGAGGUCAGGAUAUCAUUGUGAAUGUCCAAGUUAAUGAGACACAAUAGCUUUUGUGGGAGGAGACUACCUGAUGGCUGGAUGAAAACAAGAAUCCCUUCAAUGUCUCCCAGCCCAAGGUGCAGUGCUGCAUCUCUGGUCAGUUGUGAGUCUGAGAUGAAGCACUGUAGCUCGGGAAGGGAGGAACGAUGCAGCAGAAGGUGCCGGCCGUCACUUCUCCUUUGCUGGGCUGCAUGGAGCAGGAGAGUCCAGGCAAGUAUGUCUACUAAAUAGACCCAGGGAGCAAAGGAAUUUCUCUGGAUUGUGGCAGCAAGGAAUGAAAUAGCACCAGAGACGAAGCAUGAAGAACAUAGUGGAGAAAACAACAGCCUACAGGAAGUAUUAGAAGUAGAGAGAGAUUUCUUUGUCACUGCCCACUUGGAGAGUGGUGGCCUGCAGUUAAGGAUGGGGGAGAAAUGCAAUUCAGUUCAUAUUUAAAGGUGGACGUAUAUCAUUCUCACUUUCUAAAAACAAUUUGCAAACUGAAACCUAACCAUCCUUUGAAAUUCACACUACACCAAAUUUUGCAAUGCACCUCUCCAGCCAAGUAAUGUGUACAAAAUUGCAUAUUCAAGGUGGAAAUCUGCAUAUGAAUGCAUAUAUUAGUGAAAGUAAUACAGUACACAAAAAUGGCUAUUAUUUAUAAUAUAAAAUGAUUAUUAUUUACAAUGAAUAAAAAUCACUUUGUAAACAUAUGUAUAUUAGGCAAAAUUACAUACAAAUAUUUGUAUAUCAGGAAAAAUUCACACUAAUAUGCUGAUGAAUUUUCAUGAGAUCUUUCUUUAAAAAAAAUCACAUAUCGGUGUGAAAAUGUGGAGAACUGAAUUUAUGACUGGAAAAAUGAAAAACAGAGUAACCCAAAUUCUCCCAUCCCUACCUGCAGUUAAUUUAUUGAAAGAGUAGGCCAUGUCACCAAGCAAUGGCUCAAGCAAUGACUCCUAAUGAAAAAUGCCUUCUUGUCUCUGAAAGAAGAAAUCGUACAUGCUAUUUUGUACAUCCAAAGUGUGGCAAACCAUGCGUUCCAACAGUUGAAUGUAGGAAGUAACACACUUGCCAGUUCUAAGGUAGGGCCAGAGAAAUAUCUCCUUCGGGAGCAUGUGUGUGCCAGUGCAUAGUGUAUAUGCACAUAUCUGCACAAAGAAAACAUGCUGAUUGAAACAAAUGCCUACCUCUCUUUACAGGAGGUGCAUGCCUUUUUUCUUGGAUUGUUCAUGCUUGGGAAAACAAAACACAGCUCCAGCCCGAGGGCUUGUCAUAGAGAAAAGAGGAUUCUUGCAUGGCUACCAAAUCUCUUCUUCAGUGGCACCACCAAGUGGCCAUACCAAGCAGUGUGCCCAAGCAAACAGCUCUUCCAUUUGAGGUCUAUUUUAGCAGGGUCACGUAAGAAAAGCCUGAUGUGCAGGAAGAUUUGAAGGAGCCACUUGGCAGGUAUCCUUGCCUUCAGCCCAACUCUCACUGUGUCCUCGGGGUCCAGUUUUCCCAGGAAUCCCUUAGAUGAUAAGAGGGGGAUUCCUGGAAAUACUGUUCUUGGGGUCAUGGCUCAGCAACUGGAGACAACUUGUUCCCUUUUUAUCACUCUGGAGAAGGGCAUAGAAAAAAAUAGAGAGCACUUGGGAAAAGGAAAAUGCCUCAAGGAAUUUGCUCCAGUCAUUCAGCCCCCAAAAGCCCAGGGGACCAGAAUCAUCUCUGCACAUGACCUCGUGGCAGGGUUUUCGAAAUCACACUGGGCUUCCUAAGUGAAGACAAUUGUGUGUACUGCCUUCAAGUCGAUUCUGACUUAUGGCGUCCCUAUGAACAGGGUUUUCAUGAGGCUGAGAGGCAGUGACUGGCCCAAGGUCACCCAGUGAGCUUCAUGGCUAUCUGGGAAUUCGAACCCUGGUCUCUCAGGUCGUAGUCCAACACCUUAACCACUACACCACACUGACUCUCUUGAAGACAAUUAACUGCAUAGCAAAGAGAGAAAGAGUUUGUUCACCAGGCACUGUCCAGCCUUUGCUUAGUUUGGGGCUACACAGAUAGGGGGGAUCAUGGCCAUUGUAUUGCAGACUAGCAAGCCUGAAAGGUUUGGAAACCUGUAUUAUUGCCCCACUGAUUCCCAGAGCCUUCUGUGUUGCACCAUCUGGGAAAGGGCAUUUGGACUUCUAGUUCAAUCAAGUCUGUGCUGGCUGGGAUGUCAAGAAAGAAUAUAAUUGCUCCUUGGAUGUGAUGGGUGUAAGAGGCAGCCCAUCAUGAACUUCCACAUACCCAAAGGUUGCCUUCCAAACCCAGGCAAGUGAAGAACUGCUGCUGCCCUCAUAGAUUGCAAAGCAUUUUAUGAAUUAAAAUGUUCUUCUGGAUGAGUUAUACUGCUCUGCCCUGAGCUGUAGUGCUCUAGUUCCCGCUCUUGUCUGGCGUAUGUCAUGGGCUAACAAUGGCAAACAAGGCAUGGUUUUAACCCCUUCUGUGCUACCUGGGCACGGCUGUGUCCAUAGGGGUGGGGUGAGGAAUUCAAUUCAGUUCUCAUUUAAAGGUGAAUCCACCUAAUUACAAACCAAAAUACAGCCAUCCUUUGAACAACACACUUUUCUGAACUGCAGUUGUCCAGCUAAGUAUUGUAUACAAAAACACAUAUACUAGGAUAAAGUGUGCAUUAAAAUGCAUAUUAGUGAAAAUAACAUACAUAAUGCUUUAUAGGGGAAAUUGCUAUGCAAAAUGUGUAUAUUAGGGGAAAUUGCAUACAAACGUGUGACUGUUAGGGGAAAUUUGCACUAAAGUGCUGGUGGAUUUUCAUGAGGGCUUUUAAACAAAAAAUCAAAAACUUGUGGAAAUGUGGAGAACUGAAUUUAAGAUUGAAAAAAUGAGGAAUUGACAGAAAUUGAAACUGACAGGUUCACCCAUCUCUGUAUCAAUAAAGCACUGAGCU